Molecule: long non-coding RNA, 227 nt
Filed under: Homo sapiens (human)
Lineage: Eukaryota; Metazoa; Chordata; Mammalia; Primates; Hominidae
Description: HSALNT0305151
Source: RNAcentral
CGUUUUUUUGAGACAGGGUUCCACUCUGUCACCCAGGCUGGAGUGCAGUGGUGUGAUCUCGGCUCACUGCGGCCUCAACCUGGGCUCAAGCGAUCCUCCCGCCUCAGCCUCUUAAAGGGCUGAAAUUGCAGGCAUGAGCCACCACGCCAAGCCCCCAUAUUCUCUUUUUUUUUUUUUUUUUUUUUUUGAGAUAGAGUUUCCCUCUUGUUGCCCAGGCUGGAGUGGAA